Molecule: ribosomal RNA, 450 nt
Filed under: uncultured bacterium
Lineage: Bacteria
Description: bacterial SSU rRNA
Rfam family: Bacterial small subunit ribosomal RNA
Source: RNAcentral
GUGGGGAAUUUUGGACAAUGGGCGCAAGCCUGAUCCAGUAAUGCCGCGUGCAGGAAGAAGGCCUUCGGGUUGUAAACUGCUUUUGUACGGAACGAAAAGGCUCUGGUUAAUACCUGGGGCUGAUGACGGUACCGUAAGAAUAAGCACCGGCUAACUACGUGCCAGCAGCCGCGGUAAUACGUAGGGUGCAAGCGUUAAUCGGAAUUACUGGGCGUAAAGCGUGCGCAGGCGGUUAUGUAAGACAGAGGUGAAAUCCCCGGGCUCAACCUGGGAAGUGCAUCUGUGACUGCACGGCUGGAGUGCGGCAGAGGGGGAUGGAAUUCCGCGUGUAGCAGUGAAAUGCGUAGAUAUGCGGAGGAACACCGAUGGCGAAGGCAAUCCCCUGGGCCUGCACUGACGCUCAUGCACGAAAGCGUGGGGAGCAAACAGGAUUAGAAACCCGUGUAGUCC